AUUGAACGCUGGCGGAAUGCUUUACACAUGCAAGUCGAGCGGCAGCGCGGGGCAACCCUGGCGGCGAGCGGCGAACGGGUGAGUAACAUAUCGGAACGUACCCAGUCGUGGGGGAUAACUAUCCGAAAGGAUAGCUAAUACCGCAUACGUCCUGAGGGAGAAAGCGGGGGAUCGCAAGACCUCGCACGAUUGGAGCGGCCGAUAUCGGAUUAGCUAGUUGGUGGGGUAAAGGCUCACCAAGGCGACGAUCCGUAGCGGGUCUGAGAGGACGACCCGCCACACUGGAACUGAGACACGGUCCAGACUCCUACGGGAGGCAGCAGUGGGGAAUUUUGGACAAUGGGGGCAACCCUGAUCCAGCCAUUCCGCGUGAGUGAAGAAGGCCUUCGGUUGUAA
RNAcentral lists this ribosomal RNA (396 nucleotides) under uncultured bacterium. RNAcentral describes it as "bacterial SSU rRNA". It matches the Rfam family "Bacterial small subunit ribosomal RNA", at positions 29 to 428 of the family's 1533-position model. The record is from RNAcentral.